Molecule: ribosomal RNA, 254 nt
Filed under: uncultured bacterium
Lineage: Bacteria
Description: partial 16S ribosomal RNA
Rfam family: Bacterial small subunit ribosomal RNA
Source: RNAcentral
UACGUAGGGGGGCAAGCGUUGUCCGGAUUUAUUGGGCGUAAAGAGCGUGUAGGCGGCUAGAUAGGUCCGUUGUGAAAACUCGAGGCUCAACCUCGAGACGUCGAUGGAAACCAUCUGGCUAGAGUCCGGAAGAGGAGAGUGGAAUUCCUGGUGUAGCGGUGAAAUGCGCAGAUAUCAGGAAGAACACCCGUGGCGAAGGCGGCUCUCUGGGACGGUACUGACGCUGAGACGCGAAAGCGUGGGGAGCGAACAGG